This 2672-nucleotide ribosomal RNA is filed under the name Klebsiella pneumoniae. Its description in RNAcentral is "bacterial LSU rRNA". It matches the Rfam family "Bacterial large subunit ribosomal RNA". The record is from RNAcentral. Lineage: Bacteria; Pseudomonadati; Pseudomonadota; Gammaproteobacteria; Enterobacterales; Enterobacteriaceae.
CACUAUCGUUAACUGAAUACAUAGGUUAACGAGGCGAACCGGGGGAACUGAAACAUCUAAGUACCCCGAGGAAAAGAAAUCAACCGAGAUUCCCCCAGUAGCGGCGAGCGAACGGGGAGCAGCCCAGAGUCUGAAUCAGCUUGUGUGUUAGUGGAACGGUCUGGAAAGUCCGACGGUACAGGGUGAUAGUCCCGUACACCAAAAUGCACAGGUUGUGAACUCGAAGAGUAGGGCGGGACACGUGGUAUCCUGUCUGAAUAUGGGGGGACCAUCCUCCAAGGCUAAAUACUCCUGACUGACCGAUAGUGAACCAGUACCGUGAGGGAAAGGCGAAAAGAACCCCGGCGAGGGGAGUGAAAAAGAACCUGAAACCGUGUACGUACAAGCAGUGGGAGCACCUUCGGGUGUGACUGCGUACCUUUUGUAUAAUGGGUCAGCGACUUAUAUUCUGUAGCAAGGUUAACCGUAUAGGGGAGCCGCAGGGAAACCGAGUCUUAACUGGGCGUUAAGUUGCAGGGUAUAGACCCGAAACCCGGUGAUCUAGCCAUGGGCAGGUUGAAGGUUGGGUAACACUAACUGGAGGACCGAACCGACUAAUGUUGAAAAAUUAGCGGAUGACUUGUGGCUGGGGGUGAAAGGCCAAUCAAACCGGGAGAUAGCUGGUUCUCCCCGAAAGCUAUUUAGGUAGCGCCUCGUGAACUCAUCUUCGGGGGUAGAGCACUGUUUCGGCUAGGGGGUCAUCCCGACUUACCAACCCGAUGCAAACUACGAAUACCGAAGAAUGUUAUCACGGGAGACACACGGCGGGUGCUAACGUCCGUCGUGAAGAGGGAAACAACCCAGACCGCCAGCUAAGGUCCCAAAGUCAUGGUUAAGUGGGAAACGAUGUGGGAAGGCACAGACAGCCAGGAUGUUGGCUUAGAAGCAGCCAUCAUUUAAAGAAAGCGUAAUAGCUCACUGGUCGAGUCGGCCUGCGCGGAAGAUGUAACGGGGCUAAACCAUGCACCGAAGCUGCGGCAGCGACACUAUGUGUUGUUGGGUAGGGGAGCGUUCUGUAAGCCUGCGAAGGUGUGCUGUGAGGCAUGCUGGAGGUAUCAGAAGUGCGAAUGCUGACAUAAGUAACGAUAAAGCGGGUGAAAAGCCCGCUCGCCGGAAGACCAAGGGUUCCUGUCCAACGUUAAUCGGGGCAGGGUGAGUCGACCCCUAAGGCGAGGCCGAAAGGCGUAGUCGAUGGGAAACAGGUUAAUAUUCCUGUACUUGGUGUUACUGCGAAGGGGGGACGGAGAAGGCUAUGUUAGCCGGGCGACGGUUGUCCCGGUUUAAGCAUGUAGGCUGGUUAUCCAGGCAAAUCCGGAUAAUCAAGGCUGAGGUGUGAUGACGAGGCACUACGGUGCUGAAGUAACAAAUGCCCUGCUUCCAGGAAAAGCCUCUAAGCAUCAGGUAACAUCAAAUCGUACCCCAAACCGACACAGGUGGUCAGGUAGAGAAUACCAAGGCGCUUGAGAGAACUCGGGUGAAGGAACUAGGCAAAAUGGUGCCGUAACUUCGGGAGAAGGCACGCUGGUGUGUAGGUGAAGUCCCUGCGGAUGGAGCUGAGACCAGUCGAAGAUACCAGCUGGCUGCAACUGUUUAUUAAAAACACAGCACUGUGCAAACACGAAAGUGGACGUAUACGGUGUGACGCCUGCCCGGUGCCGGAAGGUUAAUUGAUGGGGUUAUCCGUAAGGAGAAGCUCUUGAUCGAAGCCCCGGUAAACGGCGGCCGUAACUAUAACGGUCCUAAGGUAGCGAAAUUCCUUGUCGGGUAAGUUCCGACCUGCACGAAUGGCGUAAUGAUGGCCAGGCUGUCUCCACCCGAGACUCAGUGAAAUUGAACUCGCUGUGAAGAUGCAGUGUACCCGCGGCAAGACGGAAAGACCCCGUGAACCUUUACUAUAGCUUGACACUGAACAUUGAGCCUUGAUGUGUAGGAUAGGUGGGAGGCUUUGAAGCGUGGACGCCAGUCUGCGUGGAGCCAACCUUGAAAUACCACCCUUUAAUGUUUGAUGUUCUAACGUUGGCCCCUGACCGGGGUUGCGGACAGUGUCUGGUGGGUAGUUUGACUGGGGCGGUCUCCUCCCAAAGCGUAACGGAGGAGCACGAAGGUUAGCUAAUCCUGGUCGGACAUCAGGAGGUUAGUGCAAUGGCAUAAGCUAGCUUGACUGCGAGCGUGACGGCGCGAGCAGGUGCGAAAGCAGGUCAUAGUGAUCCGGUGGUUCUGAAUGGAAGGGCCAUCGCUCAACGGAUAAAAGGUACUCCGGGGAUAACAGGCUGAUACCGCCCAAGAGUUCAUAUCGACGGCGGUGUUUGGCACCUCGAUGUCGGCUCAUCACAUCCUGGGGCUGAAGUAGGUCCCAAGGGUAUGGCUGUUCGCCAUUUAAAGUGGUACGCGAGCUGGGUUUAGAACGUCGUGAGACAGUUCGGUCCCUAUCUGCCGUGGGCGCUGGAGAAUUGAGGGGGGCUGCUCCUAGUACGAGAGGACCGGAGUGGACGCAUCACUGGUGUUCGGGUUGUCAUGCCAAUGGCACUGCCCGGUAGCUAAAUGCGGAAGAGAUAAGUGCUGAAAGCAUCUAAGCACGAAACUUGCCCCGAGAUGAGUUCUCCCUGAGACUUUAAGUCUCCUGAAGGAACGUU